This 64-nucleotide transfer RNA is filed under the name unidentified. RNAcentral's name for it is "Strongylium nakanei tRNA-Asp". The record is from RNAcentral.
AAGAAUUUAGUUAAACAAUAACAUUAACUUGUCAAGUUAAAAUUAAUAAAAAUAUUAGUUCUUA